ACUCCUGCGGGAGGCAGCAGUGGGGAAUAUUGCACAAUGGGCGCAAGCCUGAUGCAGCCAUGCCGCGUGUAUGAAGAAGGCCUUCGGGUUGUAAAGUACUUUCAGCGGGGAGGAAGGCGAUAAGGUUAAUAACCUUGUCGAUUGACGUUACCCGCAGAAGAAGCACCGGCUAACUCCGUGCCAGCAGCCGCGGUAAUACGGAGGGUGCAAGCGUUAAUCGGAAUUACUGGGCGUAAAGCGCACGCAGGCGGUCUGUCAAGUCGGAUGUGAAAUCCCCGGGCUCAACCUGGGAACUGCAUUCGAAACUGGCAGGCUAGAGUCUUGUAGAGGGGGGUAGAAUUCCAGGUGUAGCGGUGAAAUGCGUAGAGAUCUGGAGGAAUACCGGUGGCGAAGGCGGCCCCCUGGACAAAGACUGACGCUCAGGUGCGAAAGCGUGGGGAGCAAACAGGAUUAGAAACCCCUGUAGUCCCAUGA
Molecule: ribosomal RNA, 474 nt
Filed under: uncultured organism
Description: partial 16S ribosomal RNA
Rfam family: Bacterial small subunit ribosomal RNA
Source: RNAcentral